AGUGUACUGAAUGGGAUUCUACGACCAAAUGAAAAGUAUAAUGUUUCCAUAAGUUUCUGUCCAAAUCGUCCUGGGACAUACACAGCAGAUAUUCCUAUGCUUUUAAAUUAUAUUCCAGUUUGCUAUAAAAUAUUAUGUCUUACUGGGGAAGUAAAAUCACCAGAGUUAUUGUUUGACCCUCCAUUUAUAUUUUUCACUCCUGUUCCUUUGGAUAUAACAACUGUGAUGGAUAUCAACAUUUUACCUCAAAACUAUUUCAGAAAUUCAACUCUAUGUGUCCAGAUUCCCACAGUAAGGCUUCUUGAUGGUGAAGAGAUUCGCCCUCUUUCUGUGAAAUUUCCAAAAGGCAGAGUCAUCCCAGGCUCUCACAGUGGAAUUAAUAAUAAGCUCACUUGCCACCUCAGUUUCAAGUCAUCUAAACCUGUGUCAUUUUUUACCAAUCUUCUUUUCUGUGAUGACAGAAAAAACUGGUUUUCACUUCCAGUUACUGCAACAGCAGAAAACUGCAUUCUUACUAUUUACCCAUAUAUGGCAAUUCAUCUGGAUAAGCAAAACAUUAUUUUAAAGAAUGAUAAGGAUGAAUAUCUUAAGAAGACUAGAGAUGGUGUUUUGCCUCCCUACCAGGAUGCUAAAUCACCCUCUCCUGCUUCAAUUAAAAAGACAUACACCACUAGCAAAUUCAAUGAUGCUGAACCUGCAAAGGGAAACUUAUUUAUUGGAGUGGAAGUACUGCCUGAAAAUUUGCACUUGGUUGAAAGUGAAACAUCAAAGGAAGAUCAUGGGUCUCUGGAAAAGGAAAAAUAUGAACAAUUCCUUUCUCUUGAAGAAGGAACAAAGGCACACUACUUUUUUGAGAAGGUUGUAAAUGCAGCACAGACCUGGUUCAGUCUCUUUGGCUGGCCUGAAGGACCCCAUUCUUUUUCUAUUCCAGAGACUAUAAGAAGGGAUGUAUAUAAAAUGCAAUUCUACUCAUCAACCUCGCCACCCCAAAAGUUUUCCAGACAGAAUGACUUUUCCAAAUAUAAUAAGACCAUUUAUGAUGUGCUGCUCCAUUUGAGUGGAAAAAUGCCACCUGGAAUUAAUUCAAGUCAAUCUUUACCUGUAGAUAACCAUGAAAAAAGGGUAAUUCAACUCCAUUUGCAACAUUCCUCACUUCUGGACUUUCUCAAUGCUCAAGGAGGAUGUAUUUCACAUGUUCUGCCGGAAUUUUUGCUUGAACCAGAAGAUUAUAAGAGGUGGAUUGAAAUUAUGUCUUCCACUAAUACGAUGCCUGUGAGUUCCUGUACACCUAAGAAAAAAUGUUCUAUUGUUAUAGAAAUGUCUAAAUUUGAAGCCUGGAGUAAACGGGCAUGGACAGAUGUAUUUCUACAAAUAUACAAGGUUUUGGUUCUAUCCCGUGUAGUACCAUACUGCAGCAAUAAUAUGCCCCCCAUAUGUGUGCAAAAUACACCAAAAGUCAAUCCUUGUUUUGCAUCCAGCAACAUAUAUUCUGAUUCUGAAAGAAUUUUGCUUAGUUGGAUGAACAUAAAUUAUGAGAAUACUCGACAUGUGAUAUGGAAAAACUGUCACAAAGAUGUUAUCCCUUCUGAGAGAUGGAUAGUAAAUUUUGACAAAGACCUUUCAGAUGGUCUUGUUUUUGCAACACAGUUGGGAGCCUAUUGCCCAUUCUUGAUUGAGUCUCAUUUUAUUAAUAUGUACACGCAACCAAAAAGUCCUGAAGAGUAUCUGCACAAUUGCCUGAUUAUUGUAAAUACUCUUUAUGAAAUUGACUUUGACAUGGAAAUACAGGUGUGUCUGUGAGGGUGUUUCCAAAGGAGAUGGAUGCAGGAGUCAGUGGCCUGAGAAAGGAAGAUAUGCCCUCAGUGUGGGUUGUUACCAUCCGAUUGGCUGUGGCAGUGGCCAGAACAAAGAGACAGAAGAAGGGGGAUAUUCAGUUUGCUUGUUUUUUUGUUUGUUUGUUCUUUUUUAUUUUUGUCGUGAUCUCUUUCUCCCUUUGGAGCAGGAUGCAUUUUUUUUCUCCUUCUGCCCUUGGACAUCUGAUUCCAGGUUUUUCAGCCUUUGGACUCUAGGACUUGCACCAGCAGCCUCCUUUGGGCUUUCAGCCUUCGGCCUCAGAAUGGGGCCUGCACUGUAGCUUCCCUGGUUUGGGGGAUUUGGGACUUGGCCUGAGCCAUGCUUCUGGCUUCCCUGGGAGCCCCUAUUGGCUUCUGUCAUUCUGCAGUUUGUAGCCAGCCUACUGUGGGACUUCGCCUUUGUGAUUGUUCAGCCAAUUCUUCCUAAUAAAUUCCCAUUUAUAUAUAU
RNAcentral lists this small RNA (2301 nucleotides) under Pan troglodytes (chimpanzee). RNAcentral's name for it is "processed transcript". The record is from RNAcentral. Lineage: Eukaryota; Metazoa; Chordata; Mammalia; Primates; Hominidae.